UGGCGAACGGGUGAGUAACACGUGGGCAACCUGCCCAAAGAGGGGGAUAACACUUGGAAACAGGUGCUAAUACCGCAUAACCAUAGUUACCGCAUGGUAACUAUGUAAAAGGUGGCUAUGCUACCGCUUUUGGAUGGGCCCGCGGCGCAUUAGCUAGUUGGUGGGGUAAAGGCUUACCAAGGCAAUGAUGCGUAGCCGAACUGAGAGGUUGAUCGGCCACAUUGGGACUGAGACACGGCCCAAACUCCUACGGAAGGCAGCAG
This 263-nucleotide ribosomal RNA is filed under the name uncultured bacterium. Its description in RNAcentral is "partial 16S ribosomal RNA". It matches the Rfam family "Bacterial small subunit ribosomal RNA", at positions 96 to 354 of the family's 1533-position model. The record is from RNAcentral.